UCUUUUUUUCUCGAGAAAAGUAGAUUUCAUUGAUCACAAAACUGUUACAUCAGGAGAAUCCACGAGCGGAUUACUCGAAAGCCAACAAGCCGUACGUUUGACCUGACCUAGCAAAUACUGCUAAAUCAUGACUAACACUAUUGUGUGAUCUAUGAAUUUUAGAAAUCUUAAUCUCCCUUCCCUGAUUCCCAAGUUCUUUGAUUUGUAUCUCUCCAAACCUAUCUGCUCGCGUCGACGAAUAAGCCCUAUAUAUCUUCGUCCCAGUUUUCGGCUCCGUUCUCUAAUUCCCAGUUGCUUGCUGCUGAUUUGUAUCUCUUCAAACCUAUCUGCUCGCGUCGACGCCACCUCGGUCAAAGAGAGUCGCACGCAAGGUGUUCGGCGUCGGGCCUCGAUCCCGACAUCUAUGGCGUCCAUGUUGAUGGUUGCGAAUCCUUCCUUCCUUGCUUUCAAGGGGACGUGUUCCCGGGCUCCCGACUGCUCCAGGAUCCACGGAGAACUCAACAAGCCUUGUGUCGCCUCUGUUCGUCAUCCCCGAGUUGGAUUUGUCGGCGCCCAUAAGGUGUUCGAUUCCCGGCCCUGACUGCCACACCGAUCGCGUCCAGGGUGCCGCUGCGUCCCAGCUUGGCACGUUCCUCGCUUCUACAACUCCAGCAGAGGCCCUGAAGACUCACUUGCCUCUGCCGUUCGUUGUUCCCGAGCUUGUCACGGCGGCGCCUGCCAGAUGUUCAACGGAAUGCUCCGACGACUCCACCAACAGGGUGACCUCCAUAAGCUGCUGGGUGUAUCUACCAUGACCAUUACGCCGCCCAGCAACAUCUACACCAAGCCAGACAUGGUCGCCAAUGACACUACUAGCCUCACAUGGCGAAGUGUGCCACCUACUCGAUGCCAUGCCGCUGAGUGUGUGCUUCCCAGGUAUCGCGGGUUGUUCCCAUGCCCUCUGUACCCUCAUUAUGACGCGUACCAUCAUGGCCUGUCAUCCCCAAGCUUGUCAAGCUGAUGUCCGCCAGGAGAUACAAGGUAUUCGGCGAUGUGCUUGCCAGAAGUACAUCUGUGCUGCAGCCCUCGCAUGUAAAGAUGCUCAAACAACAACCAAGCCUGCCAGCUGCGCAACUGCAGAUGGCAGACAAAGGAGAUUUUCCCCGGCCAACACCACGGCCAUCAUUUGGUUACUGUCAGGGCAACCGACAAUUGAGGGAGCCAUGGCCGCCACCUUUUAUCCUCCUAACUAUUGUUCUGACACCUCAAGGAACACCAACACCAUGCUCACCACGGUCCACGUCGAGGAAGAGAUGUUAUGCAUGUUCUAGAGCAUUGGGUGUUUAUCAGAACCAGGGGUACAGUCUGGGAAGCAACUAUGUGCAACAGGCCGUACCAGAAGCUUGGUGGUAUUGAGUAUUGACCUCAAAUCUUAGAGUAGAGCAGGCCAAUGUUAUAAUUUCCAUCUGGCCUUGUUGGAUGGCAAUAUCCGAAGUGAUUUGUAGUUUACAUCUGAUCCUGCCAUGGCCUCCUCAUCAAGCAAGAGCUCCGACACUUUCUAGUGCAUUGACACAAUGUGCACAAUGAGUACCUGUUGGUCUGGGAGAUGUCAAGGAAAUCGGUGGUGCCAUGGUGUGUUCAUACAGCCCAUACUUGGCAGCUAAGAAGCACUAAGAACAUGACGGCUAAGCAUAAAGGGCAUAUUGGAGAGAAGGCUGUGCUAUCACUGGACCAUGGGCAUAUCAAAGAUGGGUUUGUGAUGAUUCCUGGAGUUAUGCUGCCACUACAGGAUAUGUGAUGACUGAGGGCAUCAGAGAAUUGUCAGUAUGCUGGGAUCUUGGUGACAUCUUUGGAUCGGCUUGGGGCAAGCCGAUUUUUAAAGAAGGGGAAAUGCCACGACUACGACUGCAACCGACGAUGUUUACAAUUACAGGGCAUGCUUUGAGAUGAGCUACUCCAUGAACCUGGAGCAACAAUGGGCGGCGGCCCAAGUGAGUGUUGUUGCACCGGCUACAUAAGGAAGAUGGAAGGCACUCGAUGGGAAUCAAAACAAAAUUUUGCAAGGCAAAUGCCCUUUUCCUAUGACUAUUAUUCUCAUCACCAACCUCUUGCUUGUUGAUAUCUCGUUUAUCCCAUAUAUAAGUAAAUCUUCAAAUUUACUAGAGCAAAAAAUUGAACUAGCAAGUCAUUUAAACGGGACAAACGAGAUUCUGUUUGUGUCACUACACAUGGCAAACUACUCUAAUAAAAUUUUAUUUUAUUUUAUUUUAUUUUGUUUAAGGGAUUACUUAAGCUUUCCAUUUAAAAUUAUUUUCACUCACUUUUAGAGCACUCACUUCGACUAGCUUAACUUAAUACCAUUUCUAGUACGAACUGUCAUAUUCAAGAAAUGCUGCCCACCUGCCCUGCCCCCAUUAUUCUAAUCCUGGGUGAACCAUAUACAGUACUAUUAAGAACACAUUUUAUAGUAAUUAUUUGAUUCACACAGAGGAUUUGCAAAUGGCAUUGUGCUUUUACAAAGAGGAAUAUCAAAGCAGAGUUUAGCCCCCUUUUCUCCAGAAAGUGCACAAGCUUUGUGUCUCAUUUCAUUGAUAGAUUGAGUUCUCUACAAGCCUAAGAAUAGGGCAUUGCAACCAAACACUCAUUUGUAUAGGGUUGAUCCUGAAUGGCACUGGCAGGGUAAUUCUCCUUUGGCAGGGACAGUGAUAGCAUAGUCCAUUGUGCAGGGCCUGCUACAUUAGCAUCCAUGCCAGAGGAGAACUGCACUGCGAUUCUCACCCUCAACACUCCAUAGCCUUUAUGGAUCUUUUGUUCUUGGUGUGGGAGGAAGACAGUUGGUAUGUUUUUAACUGCUCUUUCAUGCGAAAUCUGUUUCUUGCUAUGCACUGUAUGUUACUGUGGCAAAUAUAUAAAGGGCAGAGAUGGGCAAGAAAAAUAUGGAUAUUCUACUGGAUAUGCUUUCAGAUCAGGAGAAUGCUUUCAAGAGGUAUUCAUCUAGCUCUAGCUUUGCCUUUUCCUCAUCUCUCUUUUAGUUGAAAGCUUGAACAACAGAAAGACAAUGAUUCUUGCUCUUGCUACCUCAUUUGGUUUAUUAUUAUAUUUAUUUAUGCCAUUGUUUCAAGUAAAAAAACAGUUAAAUCCAAAUUACCUAUCACAACCAACAGAAAAAUUGCACUUCGACCUGAUGAAGCAUUUGGGGAAGGGGUCACCGAGAAAUCUGGAAGUAACUAUAGUUUGCUUUGUCAUGUAGUUUUGACAUAUAAUUUACAUGUGGAUCAGCAGAAUCACUCAAAACAUGCAUCCAGUGGCGGGGACACAGGGGAGGAGGGGGUGGCAACCCCCCUCCCCCCCCCCCCCCCCCAAUGAGUAUGGAGGUUACUUGAUCUUACACGAUAUGGCUAUUAUAGUUGGUAAUUAUGACACGAGACCAACCGGUUUAUUUCUGGAAAAUGAAACUGGUCUCCAGUAUGAUUAUCGGAACUUCUAUGUGUCAAAGUCAUUCUAUGACCCAGAAAAGCACGGCCGUGUCUUUUGGGAUGGUCAAAUGAGUCUAACACUGCCCGCGAUGACUGUGUUGUGGACAUCGCUGAACUACAAGACAACAUGGUUGCGGGGAGGUUAAGUAUAUGCUCAAGAUGAGCCUCGAUCUGAAACGAUAUAAUUAGUAUACAAUUGGGAAUUAUGAUCAUGAGACCGGCCAGUACAUUCAUGGACAAUGAAUUUGGCCUCCCGGUAUGAUUAUGAGAUCUUUCUAUGUGUCAUAGAAUGACCCAGAAAAGCAUUGCCUUAUCCUCGGACAAAUGAGUUUGACACACUGCCCGUGAUAAUUGGCUAAAAAAAUCGUUUUGGGGAGAGGGGAGGGGGUUCCCCCCCCCCCCCCCCCACCAUGUCUGUACCACUUGAUGCAUGUAGCAACCAAAGCUAUGAGCAUAUCCAUUAUAGAUGUUCACACAAUAUCAUGAUUUGAGUGCUUUUUUGUUGAUCCACAUGUAAACGUAAUGUACUUGCAAUCUUAACAUAAAUGUACCCGAUCGCUUGGUUCAUUCGGUUGAGAAUGCUAUACAAAUACAAGCCUUCGCUCGGCCUGCUCCGAGUGUAGAACCCAACUGCCUAGUUAGUUUACAUGAGUCAUGACGAGACAUAAACAGUCGAGUCAAAACUCUUUGCCAGUCCGUCUAAAAAGUACUCUUUUCCGAUAUAAAAAUACUCUUUGCCACUUGCCUAAAUUUUUUCUUUGCCACUGUACUGGUCUCUCUCUGCCCUCUCAUUCCAAUGUUCAGGCCAUGUUGAGUAGGUAAAUCGGACCUUGUUGAUUUUUCUAAGCAUUAUCACCUCUAGUGCUUAGUUAUUUUAAAAUGAAAAUUUUGAAGUUCAAAACCUUGAUAUAAUGGGGGGAAGAGGGCUCUCGCGAUAGGUUAGGCGAUUAUUUAUUUAUGCCACUGUUGCAAGUUAAAGAGUUUGAUUACUGCAACUGUUCUGCACCUAUAUAUAGAUGAGAUGAUGCAGUUUACAUUAGAUAGAGACACAACCUACAUCAGGAUAUUGGAAUUUAAUCCUAUAUCUGGGUACUUUAUACAAACUGGAUUACUGAUGAUUCUAGUUCUUGACAUUUAAGCUAUUUUUAUUUUAACUUAUAGGUCAUUUCUGGUAAACUAGUAAAACUGACUACUGGAGCUACCUGAAGUUCGGUUGAAGUUGAUGUGUUGCUUGCUAUUGACUAAAACAUACUGGGUAAUCUGUAUAGUGCUUGAGCUUGAAAAGAGUGGCUAUAACAGCAACCAGAAAGGAUUUUAUGGAACAGCAAAUUAAAGGGGCAUAAUUUAUUUACCUUGGGUCAACAGUAUGCAAUUCCAAUAACUGGCAGAAGCCGUAGAACGGUGAAAGCUUAGUGAUGACUUAUAUGGGAUACAGAUGAAAGCUUUUUCUUGGAUUGUCAAGAGCUUGUGCUAGGCUUAGCCGCUCUAUGUCUAUUCCUAGUGCAUUGGAAAAUAUGGUAAGAAAGAUAAGUGCAACAAAAAGAUAUUUGUGUAUGUGUGUCAAAUGGACGUGUGAUUUCCCUGUUCACAAGUUACCAGCCGGUGAGUUGUCAGUUCCACUGGUUACUGGUAGAACAUCCAAAAUUUUGGCUUAUGACAUUUUACCGAUUUAAAACUGGUAACAUCCUGUAACCAGUACUUGGUAGGGUCUGUUGUUUUCUCCGUUUCCGGUUUUGGAUCCUCAUUGGAAACGCUUGUUUAAUUGUUUUAGCAUAAACCGGUGCCAGCACUGUCAUUCUGUUUGCAAUUUGAUGUUUGUAAAAUAUGACCUUGCAGUAGCUCGAAAUGCUAAAAGGCUAGACAUUUUAUUUUAUAAGUUCAUGCAGCAUCUAACCCAAUCCCGUGAUCCAAAGAUCCACUACCAUAUUUUAUUUUUUGAGGGAUAUUUUUAGGCAAAAUUUGUUUGUUCUUUUGUCAUGUGAUUGAAGCCCUUCUAUAUUAUUCUUCGUUGUGGUCUUGUGGAACAUCCCCGCGGAUCUUCUUGUUUGGUGCCGGUGCAAGCUGCCUGAUCUGAUGAAGAAUUUAGUAAGCAUCUGAUUCUCAUGCAGUGCACUGAGCUUUACAGAAAGCAUGCACUAGCUCCUGCUGCCGCCGUCGAAAGACCGCGUAACAAUUUAUCAUAUCUGAUCUUUCAUUUUUUUUCCAUUAAAGAUAUGUGAUCUUACAUUGACGUGAUCGAUCACAUGCUAUUCCCAGAACUUUAUCUUUCAUUCGUUUAAUAAUAUGCUGCAUGUUGCCAUUGGUCAUUUUUAUUGGGUUUUUUUUCAGGUUUUGACCAGAAUUUACAAUUGAAUUCUCAUUGUACGUACCACAUUUUUGUUACACAAAACAUCAGAGAGAACACUGGGAAAAUGGCGCAUCAGAUAUAUUGCACUAAAUGUAGUCUUGCUGAAGAUCUUUUUCGCAGUAACACAAGGAAAAGAGGAAACAGUCCAUACUUGAAACCAAUACUUUGCAGCUUAAGACCCAAGUGAGACGAUGGAAAAGGGAAAGUGCGCAGAGUACCAGGUGCCAGGGGCUACAAAUUGCAGAGAGAUACUACGGUAGUUUCAAUGUUUCACGCAAGUUUCCCCGCAAAAAAAAAUGUUUCACGCAAAUUACUCUAUCUGUUAAAGAAUAUAUGCUGCUUUGGCCAAGACAUGAUAUUCGUUACUAUAAUCAAACUAGCUUUGCGCAUAUUGGAAUAUUAGCUGCCAGAGUUAAACAAGUUUGUGUCAGGUUUGAGAUUGUGGACCAUGAAUGCUGCAUUGUAAGGUUGAGCAAUUUUGACCACCAAAUUCUAGAGAGUCAUCAGUCAUGUAUAUGUAAACGGAGGGAGUACAUUUUUGUGCCUAUUUUGAAAGCAUACUUGAAACGUGCGGAAGAUGCCAUGGGUACCCGGAAAAUAUGCUUGGUGCCUGGAUCAAACUCGACCAGCAAAUGCAGCACGGCACUACAUUUUUCAAGUCAAGUCAAGCCAGAAUGAAUAGAAGCCAGCAUUGUAGCAUUUGAAACGAGGAUUGAAAAGAACGCUCGGUGGACAUCUAAAAGUGGAUACGCUUGAACUUGGCGCUCCUCGAUGACCAACUUUUUUGCAUUGGGGAAUUGGGUUACUUUUGCAAAGCUGAUUGAUCCAUCGUCCAUUUGCUGCCAGCUUUGGCUGAGUCGCGCAAAGGAAGCUACAGAAACAGAAUAGCAGGGCCAGGAGGUCCGGUCAAUUAGGCAUGACAAGACAUUCUGUAAUCAGAUGACCCAAGGUACUGCAAUUUGUUAGGACUAGCUAGACGAUUCAUUAUGGAUCAUGAUUUUUGAAUUGAUUAUGACGAUGGCAAUGAAUAAUGAUGACAGCAGCACAACUAUAUUUCAUUCAGCAGCGAUGUAUGUCGGGCAGUUAGCAAUUGUUCAGAAGGAUUGGGUGUGUACAGAUUUCGUUGAAGAGAACAAGGGGAGCUGUUGCAGCAGGACCAAUAACCAGUUUCAUUUUUUAGACUAAGGCAUGUCUAAUUCUAACUA
Molecule: long non-coding RNA, 7007 nt
Organism: Brachypodium distachyon (stiff brome)
Lineage: Eukaryota; Viridiplantae; Streptophyta; Magnoliopsida; Poales; Poaceae
Exons: 3
Source: RefSeq, a predicted model, not a curated record